RNAcentral lists this transfer RNA (71 nucleotides) under Electrophorus electricus (electric eel). RNAcentral describes it as "tRNA-Gln". It matches the Rfam family "tRNA". Rfam says of the family: Transfer RNA (tRNA) molecules are approximately 80 nucleotides in length. Their secondary structure includes four short double-helical elements and three loops (D, anti-codon, and T loops). Further hydrogen bonds mediate the characteristic L-shaped molecular structure. tRNAs have two regions of fundamental functional importance: the anti-codon, which is responsible for specific mRNA codon recognition, and the 3' end, to which the tRNAs corresponding amino acid is attached (by aminoacyl-tRNA synthetases). tRNAs cope with the degeneracy of the genetic code in two manners: having more than one tRNA (with a specific anti-codon) for a particular amino acid; and 'wobble' base-pairing, i.e. permitting non-standard base-pairing at the 3rd anti-codon position. Lineage: Eukaryota; Metazoa; Chordata; Actinopteri; Gymnotiformes; Gymnotidae. The record is from RNAcentral.
UAGAAGAUGGUGUAGGGGAAGCACAUAGAGUUUUGAUCUCUUUGGCAUAGGUUCAAGUCCUAUUCUUCUAG